GUAUGCAUUAAGUUGCUCACAGUGACUUGAAGUUUGGAGACUUGAAUUUGUUGGCGUUCAUACCCUUGUAUCUGAAAUUGAUUACUUGAUGCUUGAAGAAGCAAUUGUGAAACAAGGCAAUAGUACAUCCUUGUUGCAAUAAUUGGACUGCUGGCUGCCUUAAAAUUUGAAUCUACUUGGACAUCACUCAUCAUUCUUCUCCAGGGCUACAUCGGACCUUUCAUCAAGGAAACAGCAUUGGACUGCUUUAAAGAUUGGACGGUUACUGAUGGCUACUUUGGGAUGUUCCGUUUCCUAAAUUAUUGAGUUGUGUCCGUGCUUUAUGUUACAUAGCAUACACUAAGCUUUUGAUAAUAUUGUUCUUGUUUCUUUAGUGUCUGAGGCUGGUAAUCACAGAAGCUUUGUGCUUUAUUUUCUUGCUACCCACCUGGGGACUGGCAACCCUAUUGCUACCUCAGUCCUGAGAGCUGUGCAGCUUUGCUUAGCUGUCCCAAAUUCACCCUGCGGUUCUGGCAUCCCAUUUUUCCACUUGCAGUCCUUUGCAAUCGCACCUGUUUCCACCUCUGCUCCAGUUUACUGAUGCUGCAAAUAAUAUGCUCAAAAACGGAAUUUGCCCUGCAAAUAAAAUAUUGCUCAUUCUU
This is a long non-coding RNA of Heteronotia binoei (common prickly gecko), 641 nucleotides long. RefSeq lists it as uncharacterized. The record is from RefSeq and is a predicted model, not a curated record. Lineage: Eukaryota; Metazoa; Chordata; Lepidosauria; Squamata; Gekkonidae. The transcript is spliced from 2 exons.